RNAcentral lists this ribosomal RNA (253 nucleotides) under uncultured bacterium. RNAcentral describes it as "partial 16S ribosomal RNA". It matches the Rfam family "Bacterial small subunit ribosomal RNA", at positions 524 to 776 of the family's 1533-position model. The record is from RNAcentral.
UACGAAGGGGGCUAGCGUUAAUCGGAAUUACUGGGCGUAAAGCGUGCGCAGGCGGCUUUGCAAGACAGAUGUGAAAUCCCCGGGCUCAACCUGGGAACUGCAUUUGUGACUGCAAGGCUAGAGUACGGCAGAGGGGGAUGGAAUUUCCUGUGUAGCGGUGAAAUGCGUAGAUAUAGGAAGGAACACCAGUGGCGAAGGCGACAUACUGGAUCAUUACUGACGCUGAGGCUCGAAAGCGUGGGGAGCAAACAGG